This is a small nuclear RNA of Sorex araneus (European shrew), 107 nucleotides long. Lineage: Eukaryota; Metazoa; Chordata; Mammalia; Eulipotyphla; Soricidae. The record is from Ensembl.
GUGCUCAAUUCAGCAGCAUGUAUACUAAAAUGGCAUCCGUACAAAGAAGACUAGCGUGGCCCCUGCACUAGAAGGACACGCAAAUUCGUGAAGAAAAAGAAAAAGAA